CAUUUUCUGUCAGGGAUGAAGACUUUCACCGGUUCGCUGACCUUCCUCUUCUUCCUGGAGCUCUGAGAACUUUGCUGACUGUACACAAAAUUCAUUCUUUGAAUAUAAUUGCUGCUUUCUUCUUCUUCCCAUC
Long non-coding RNA from Leopardus geoffroyi (Geoffroy's cat), 133 nucleotides. RefSeq lists it as uncharacterized. The transcript has 4 exons. Lineage: Eukaryota; Metazoa; Chordata; Mammalia; Carnivora; Felidae. The record is from RefSeq and is a predicted model, not a curated record.